AAGCAAAGCCGCGAGGUAGAGCAAAUCUCAAAAAAACAAUCUCAGUUCAGACUGCAGGCUGCAACUCGCCUGCACGAAGUCGGAAUUGCUAGUAAUCGUAGGUCAGCAUACUACGGUGAAUACGUUCCCGGGCCUUGUACACACCGCCCGUCAAACCAUGAGGGUUGGCAACACCCGAAGUCGGUAGUCUAACCGCAAGGAGGACGCCGCCGAAGGUGGGGUUGAUGAUUAGGGUUAAGUCGUAACAAGGUAUC
This 254-nucleotide ribosomal RNA is filed under the name uncultured bacterium. Its description in RNAcentral is "partial 16S ribosomal RNA". It matches the Rfam family "Bacterial small subunit ribosomal RNA", at positions 1247 to 1500 of the family's 1533-position model. The record is from RNAcentral.